This 662-nucleotide ribosomal RNA is filed under the name Nosema granulosis. Its description in RNAcentral is "partial small subunit ribosomal RNA". It matches the Rfam family "Microsporidia small subunit ribosomal RNA", at positions 109 to 814 of the family's 1311-position model. The record is from RNAcentral. Lineage: Eukaryota; Fungi; Microsporidia; Nosematidae.
GAUGUAUUAGGAUUAUAACUAUGUUAAAUUAUAGAUAACAAUAAUACAAUAAGAAUAAGAUCUAUCAGUUAGUUGUUAAGGUAAUGGCUUAACAAGACUAUGACGGAUAACGGUAUUACUUUGUAAUAUUCCGGAGAAGGAGCCUGAGAGAUUGCUACUAAGUCUAAGGAUUGCAGCAGGGGCGAAACUUGACCUAUGAUAUGAUAUUGAGGCAGUUAUGAGUAGUAUUUUUAAUUAUUGUAGUAUUGUAAGUAUAUACUACAAGAUAAAUCGGAGGGCAAAUCGAGUGCCAGCAGCCGCGGUAAUACUUGUUCCGAUAGUGUGUAUGAUGAUUGAUGCAGUUAAAAAGUCUGUAGUUUAUUAUUAAUAAGCAUUGUGAGGUAUAUUGUAUGGUUAGGAGAGAGAUGAAAUGUGAUAACCCUAACUGGAUGAACAGAAGCGAAAGCUAUAUACUUAAAUGUUUUAUUAGAACAAGGACGUAAGCUAGAGGAUCGAAGAUGAUUAGAUACCAUUGUAGUUCUAGCAGUAAACUAUGUUAAAUCAUAGAUACAUUAUUAAUAUGUAUUUAUGUAAAGAAAUUAAGAUUAUAUUGACUCUGGGGAUAGUAUGAUCGCAAGAUUGAAAAUUAAAGAAAUUGACGGAAGAAUACCACAAGGAGUGGA